Long non-coding RNA from Passer domesticus (house sparrow), 1216 nucleotides. RefSeq lists it as uncharacterized. The transcript is spliced from 3 exons. NCBI's taxonomy places the organism in Eukaryota, Metazoa, Chordata, Aves, Passeriformes, Passeridae. The record is from RefSeq and is a predicted model, not a curated record.
AGAGCAUCCCAGGUUACUUGGCAAAACCCCAGGAGCUUUAACUUUACGGGUGGCACGACGUGAUAGAAACUGAUUUAUGAAGAAGAAACAAAACAAAGGCAAGAACCCCAGCCUGGUGCAGACACCUCCAUUCAAGAUGAAAGCUGCCCAGAAGGCUUGCUCCAGUGAGGAUCCCUUUUUCACUGACACCUUGUUUCACCCACAUGGGGUCCAGACCCAGCUAUGCAGCUCUACUGCUGGAAUUACCCUGUGGAGGGCAAUGCAGCUGCACUCCCUUUUCUCAUCAUGUGGACCCCUUCAAGGCCUGUACAGGUUUUAUUCAGCAGGUUAGGGACAGGAAAAUCCAUAAGUCCCCAUCUUCAGCCCCCACACAAGUCCCCUUGCAGCUGAUGAUGAGGUGCCAAUUCAAACCCAGAUUGCUUGGGGCUAGACCACAGGAAUAUCUGAGGCUUGGGAAGUGCUGCUAUCCUGCUGUGACAUCCCGGUGAGAAGUGUUCCAGGAUCUGCUGCCAGCGGCAGAAGUUCGCAGUUCGGUCACAGAUGUAAAGUAAACAGCUGUGCUGCUAAGCAAAACGAGCACUUAGGGCUGCCUGAGUUGAGAGACCUCGAGGAAAACACUUGAAGGGUCACCAACCCCUGGGCUCUGCUACGAGUUCCCACUGCAACAGCUGCCUGACUGAGAACUCUGGUGACCCCCAAGGAGGAGGGAAAGAUGGACCUCUUGAUUUUAGAGUAGCAGGGACAUCCAGUGAGGGGCAAAUGCAAGCAGCUCCUUUCAGAUGAGGCAGCAAACUCUGAGGCCAAAGCCUCUUCCUGGAAGUCUGGCUCCAUUCCUCAGCAGCAUCCAGCUGAGCCCUGGAGUUUCCCCCAAGGAUAGCACGGGGCUGGAAGAUACCGUGGUGGUGAGAGCAUUGUUUUAGCCAGCUCUGCAGAAGGGUCCGGGGAAACUCUGAAACCCAACUCUUCAGGAGGUCAUGACUACCCAAGCAAAAAGGCAGAAACUUCUCAGUUGAGACAAACUAAUGGGCUGUGGUAGCAACAGAGAGAACCAGACACUUCAACAGCAGAAGCAGAGGAUUGCUUAAGUCCCCAGAUAUUCCAAGAGAGAGAAAACAGCCUCUGGUGUGAGAAAAAGAUGCAGCCCUUGCCUGAUGCACCGAGAAUGAACUCGCAGAGACAAGAACAAAUCUUCCCCAAAUAAAGCAAAAAACUAAAC